GGAUUAGGCAUGCAAGUCGCACGAGAAAGGUUUCUUCGGAAGCCGAGUACAGUGGCGAACGGGUGAGUAAUGCAUAGACAACUCGCCCUUGAGAUGGGGACAACGCCUCGAAAGGGGUGCUAAUACCCAAUGCCGCCUUGGGCCUGCGGGUCCAGGGUGAAAGGAGGCCUCUGAUUCAAGCUUCCGCUCAAGGAGAGGUUUAUGUCCUAUUAGCUAGUUGGCGGGGUAACGGCCCACCAAGGCUGCGAUGGGUAGCCGACCUGAGAGGGUGACCGGCCACAUUGGGACUGAGACACUGCCCAGACUCCUACGGGAGGCUGCAGUCGAGAAUCUUCCGCAAUGCGCGCAAGCGUGACGGAGCGACGCCGCGUGGGUGAUGAAGGCCUUCGGGUUGUAAAACCCUGUCAGCUACUACGAAACACGGGCGAUGAACAAUCGUCCCGUCUGACUCAAGUAGCAGAGGAAGCACCGGCUAACUACGUGCCAGCAGCCGCGGUAAUACGUAGGGUGCAAACGUUGUUCGGAAUCACUGGGCAUAAAGGGCGCGUAGGCGGUCUGAUAAGUCAGGUGUGAAAUCCCUCGGCCUAACCGAGGAACUGCAUUUGAUACUGUCGGGCUAGAGUACAGGAGGGGAGAGUGGAAUUCCUGGUGGAGCGGUGAAAUGCGUAGAUAUCAGAGGAACGCCGGCGGCGAAAGCGACUCUCUGGCCUGUUACUGACGCUGAGGCGCGAAAGCUAGGGGAGCAAACGGGAUUAGAUACCCCGGUAGUCCUAGCCCUAAACGAUGGGCACUAAGUAGAGGGGUUUU
This 807-nucleotide ribosomal RNA is filed under the name uncultured Planctomycetota bacterium. RNAcentral's name for it is "bacterial SSU rRNA". It matches the Rfam family "Bacterial small subunit ribosomal RNA", at positions 46 to 832 of the family's 1533-position model. The record is from RNAcentral. Lineage: Bacteria; Pseudomonadati; Planctomycetota.